This 305-nucleotide ribosomal RNA is filed under the name uncultured bacterium. RNAcentral describes it as "bacterial SSU rRNA". It matches the Rfam family "Bacterial small subunit ribosomal RNA", at positions 337 to 656 of the family's 1533-position model. The record is from RNAcentral.
ACCUACGGGGGGCAGCAGUGGGGAAUAUUGGGCAAUGGGCGCAAGCCUGACCCAGCAAUGCCGCGUGAAGGAAGAAGGCCCUCGGGUUGUAAACUUCUUUUAUCAGGGACGAAGGAUGUGACGGUACCUGAUGAAUAAGCUCCGGCUAACUACGUGCCAGCAGCCGCGGUAAUACGUAGGGAGCAAGCGUUAUCCGGAUUUACUGGGUGUAAAGGGCGUGCAGCCGGGAAGACAAGUCAGAUGUGAAAUCCCGCGGCUCAACCGCGGAACUGCAUUUGAAACUGUUUUUCUUGAGUACCGGAGAG